Molecule: ribosomal RNA, 636 nt
Filed under: uncultured bacterium
Lineage: Bacteria
Description: bacterial SSU rRNA
Rfam family: Bacterial small subunit ribosomal RNA (bases 1-543)
Source: RNAcentral
CCUACGGGAGGCAGCAGUGGGGAAUUUUGGACAAUGGACGCAAGUCUGAUCCAGCCAUGCCGCGUGCGGGAAGAAGGCCUUCGGGUUGUAAACCGCUUUUGUCAGGGAAGAAACGGGUUUCUCUAAUACAGAGACCUAAUGACGGUACCUGAAGAAUAAGCACCGGCUAACUACGUGCCAGCAGCCGCGGUAAUACGUAGGGUGCAAGCGUUAAUCGGAAUUACUGGGCGUAAAGCGUGCGCAGGCGGUUAUGCAAGACAGAGGUGAAAUCCCCGGGCUCAACCUGGGAACUGCCUUUGUGACUGCAUAGCUAGAGUACGGUAGAGGGGGAUGGAAUUCCGCGUGUAGCAGUGAAAUGCGUAGAUAUGCGGAGGAACACCGAUGGCGAAGGCAAUCCCCUGGACCUGUACUGACGCUCAUGCACGAAAGCGUGGGGAGCAAACAGGAUUAGAUACCCUGGUAGUCCACGCCCUAAACGAUGUCAACUGGUUGUUGGGAGGGUUUCUUCUUCAGUAACGAAGCUAACGCGUGAAGUUGACCGCCUGGGGGAGGACGGCCGGCGAAGGUUAGUAAACGUUAAAGUUAAGUAAGUUAGUUACGGUGNGAGNGCGACGACGACGACGACGGAGGAGGAGG